Molecule: ribosomal RNA, 427 nt
Filed under: uncultured bacterium
Lineage: Bacteria
Description: partial 16S ribosomal RNA
Rfam family: Bacterial small subunit ribosomal RNA
Source: RNAcentral
GUGGGGAAUAUUGGGCAAUGGGGGCAACCCUGACCCAGCGACGCCGCGUGGGUGAAGAAAUCCCUCGGGAUGUAAAGCCCUGUUGUAUGGGAAGAGCAGAAGACGGUACCAUACGAGGAAGCCCCGGCAAACUACGUGCCAGCAGCCGCGGUAAUACGUAGGGGGCAAGCGUUGUCCGGAAUUACUGGGCGUAAAGCGCACGCAGGCUGAAUUAUAAGUCGGUAGUCAAAUACGGAGGCUCAACUUCCGGAUAUCUAUCGAUACUGUAAAUCUAGAGUAUGUGAGAGGGAAGCGGAAUUCCCGGUGUAGCGGUGAAAUGCGUAGAUAUUAGGAGGAACACCAGUGGCGAAGGCGGCUUACUGGACUGCAACUGACGCUGAGGCGCGAAAGUGUGGGGAGCAAACAGGAUUAGAAACCCCGGUAGUCC